GUUCCCUUAGUUUAGUGGUAGAACUCUGGAUUUUCGUUCCAGAAGCAGGGGUUCGAUUCCCCUAGGGAGCA
Molecule: transfer RNA, 71 nt
Filed under: Hyaloraphidium curvatum
Lineage: Eukaryota; Fungi; Monoblepharomycota; Hyaloraphidiomycetes; Hyaloraphidiales; Hyaloraphidiaceae
Description: tRNA-Glu
Rfam family: tRNA
About the family: Transfer RNA (tRNA) molecules are approximately 80 nucleotides in length. Their secondary structure includes four short double-helical elements and three loops (D, anti-codon, and T loops). Further hydrogen bonds mediate the characteristic L-shaped molecular structure. tRNAs have two regions of fundamental functional importance: the anti-codon, which is responsible for specific mRNA codon recognition, and the 3' end, to which the tRNAs corresponding amino acid is attached (by aminoacyl-tRNA synthetases). tRNAs cope with the degeneracy of the genetic code in two manners: having more than one tRNA (with a specific anti-codon) for a particular amino acid; and 'wobble' base-pairing, i.e. permitting non-standard base-pairing at the 3rd anti-codon position.
Source: RNAcentral